This 458-nucleotide ribosomal RNA is filed under the name uncultured bacterium. RNAcentral's name for it is "partial 16S ribosomal RNA". It matches the Rfam family "Bacterial small subunit ribosomal RNA", at positions 338 to 795 of the family's 1533-position model. The record is from RNAcentral.
CCUACGGGAGGCAGCAGUGAGGAAUAUUGGUCAAUGGGCGAGAGCCUGAACCAGCCAAGUCGCGUGAGGGAGUACUGUCCUAUGGGUUGUAAACCUCUUUUGUCGGGGAGCAAAAGCCGGACGUGUCCGGCUGUGAGAGUACCCGAAGAAAAAGCAUCCGCUAACGUCCUGCCAGCAGCCGCGGUAAUACGGAGGAUGCGAGCGUUAUCCGGAUUUAUUGGGUUUAAAGGGUGCGCAGGCGGAUUUUUAAGUCAGCGGUAAAAUCGUGGGGCUCAACCCCCUCCAGCCGUUGAAACUGGGGGUCUAGAGUGGGCGAGAGGUAUGCGGAAUGCGUGGUGUAGCGGUGAAAUGCAUAGAUAUCACGCAGAACCCCGAUUGCGAAGGCAGCAUACCGGUGCACAACUGACGCUCAGGCACGAAAGCGUGGGUAUCGAACAGGAUUAGAUACCCUUGUAGUC